CGGGCCUAACACAUGCAAGUCGAACGAGAAAGCGGAGCAAUCCCCGAGUAGAGUGGCGGACGGGUGAGUAACACGUGGGUAAUCUACCCAGUGGUGGGGAAUAACCCUGGGAAACCGGGACUAAUACCGUAUAAGCCCUCGAGAGAGGAAAGCGGCAAGUCGGGGAAGGAAGAGCCCGCGGCCGAUUAGCUUGUUGGUGAGGUAAAGGCCCACCAAGGCAACGAUCGGUAGCCGGCCUGAGAGGGCAAACGGCCACACUGGCACUGAAACACGGCCCAGACUCCUACGGGAGGCAGCAGUGGGGAAUAUUGCACAAUGGGCGAAAGCCUGAUGCAGCCAUGCCGCGUGAGUGAUGAAGGCCUUCGGGUUGUAAAGCUCUUUCGAACGGGAAGAUAAUGACGGUAGCGGGAGAAGAAGCUGCGGCUAACUACGUGCCAGCAGCCGCGGUAAUACGUAGGCAGCGAGCGUUGUUCGGAAUUACUGGGCGUAAAGGGUGUGUA
This 500-nucleotide ribosomal RNA is filed under the name uncultured bacterium. RNAcentral's name for it is "bacterial SSU rRNA". It matches the Rfam family "Bacterial small subunit ribosomal RNA", at positions 43 to 573 of the family's 1533-position model. The record is from RNAcentral.